Molecule: transfer RNA, 69 nt
Filed under: Rattus norvegicus (Norway rat)
Lineage: Eukaryota; Metazoa; Chordata; Mammalia; Rodentia; Muridae
Rfam family: tRNA
About the family: Transfer RNA (tRNA) molecules are approximately 80 nucleotides in length. Their secondary structure includes four short double-helical elements and three loops (D, anti-codon, and T loops).
Source: Rfam by way of RNAcentral
GGGGAUUUAGCUCAGUGGUAGAGCGCUUGCCUAGGAAGCGUAAGGCCCUGGGUUCGGUCCCCAGCUUCG